Molecule: long non-coding RNA, 1058 nt
Organism: Malaclemys terrapin pileata
Lineage: Eukaryota; Metazoa; Chordata; Testudines; Emydidae
Exons: 3
Source: RefSeq, a predicted model, not a curated record
UUCCACUCUUUACUGGGAGCUAUCGACAUGCAUCGGAGAGCAGAAGUUGGCCUCCAAUACCUGUGUGCACUUCCUAUUAACAUAAGCAGCUUUGGGCACUAUGGCUUACUGCUGAGAUAUGAAAAUCAUUACAGGUCGCUGAAGGACAAUGGAGCUAUUUACACCAGACUCACUUCUUCAAUGAGGCCCGACACAGUAACCCAUGCCAUUUGUUUGCCUUCUCUACCCUAUUUAUAGGGGAGUGAAAGAGAGAAGGGAAAAUGGAUGACUACAGGAAGAAGAAAAAAGCCACAGAAAACACUAUGACACUACGCCCCAUAUUCUUCAUAUUGUUAUGAUAUGAUUAUGGCAUAACUAUGAUGUAUUUUAUGCAAGAUAGGUCAUGUAAGAUAUAAUUGAAAAGGUUAUGAUUCAUUGAAUAUGAUUAUCCUAUUUGUAUGCAUGUAUCAUUUUGGUAUCUGAAGUUAAGAAUAUUGUCUAUGUAUCUAUUACAAAUGUGUUUACACCUGGGGAACACCCACUAGACAGAAUGCAAUCAGUCUAGAUGGCUGGCUGGGAAGGGCCAUUAGGGAGAAUUAUAAGUCUUAAAAGACGCUAAUCUCCUACCUGGGAGGAUGCUAUAAACAGCCUCCAAGUCAUGGUUGCUGUUUCCCUAUAGGGGCAUGUGACCAAGUCACCUGGUACUGGACUCCAUCAUAGAAUACCAGUGUUUUUCCACUGAAAGGCAUAGGAACCAAGCUUGGAGACAAAGGGUUCCCACCAUAUGCAAAAGCUAUUUAAGGCAGGGGAAUUACAUCAGCGUGGUUCUUCACUGACUCCCCAAACAAAGGAAACUCUUGGAAACACCUGAGGAACAAGGACUGAAUUGGAGGGAAAGGGCUGAACCCAGGCUAGAGGGAUUUCUAGCCUGUGAAAAGAAUAUCUGGGGUUUUAAGAUGCAAGCAAGGGCAGCUUGCCCUCAAGAAUCUCUGAAAACUGCCUGAACCAACAAUUAGGGUGAGAAUUUGCUAUUCAUAUCCAAUUUCUUUAGUAUAUUAAGCUUAGAUUGCAUUUUUGUU